RNAcentral lists this unclassified non-coding RNA (307 nucleotides) under Deniquelata barringtoniae. RNAcentral describes it as "partial internal transcribed spacer region". The stretch from base 1 to 46 matches the Rfam family "Eukaryotic small subunit ribosomal RNA", at positions 1786 to 1831 of the family's 1831-position model. The record is from RNAcentral. Lineage: Eukaryota; Fungi; Ascomycota; Dothideomycetes; Pleosporales; Didymosphaeriaceae.
AAGUCGUAACAAGGUUUCCGUAGGUGAACCUGCGGAAGGAUCAUUAAUGCUUUAGCGGGUGUGUUGCGGCCCUCGAGGCCCCGUGCAUUCGCUGCACGGGAACAAGCUCCGGGAGGUGUAGGGUUCCCACGUGGGGGCCCUUUCACGCGCACAUGACUGAAUCCUUACUUUACUCGUACCUCUCGUUCUCCUUCGGCGGGGCAGCCUGCCGUUGGAACAGCCAAAACUCUUUUUUUUUUGCAUCCAGCAUUACCUGUUCUGAUACAAACAAUCGUUACAACUUUCAACAAUGGAUCUCUUGGCUCUG